CCCACCCCCCUGUGUUUGUUUUCCUCAGCACGACGGGGAUGUGUGGCCAAUGAACCCUUCCAGCUCACGGACCUCGCGGUCACCUCCAGACUCCAGGUUUAAUAACGUCUCCCUGAUCCCUCUGCGAGGCAAUGCCAGUGAAAUGAGGAACAGUGUGGCUGCCUUUACUGCUGACCCUCUCUCAAUCUUUAAGCAGCAGUGAAAGCCUGGACUCCAGUCAAGGAAGCUCAGGAGCUGGAAGCUACAGAGCAGAGAAACCGAUAGGAGGGUGUGUUCAGCCGAGGGAGGAGGGAGGGAGGUGGAGGAGAAGGGGCAGGAGCGGCCCCUUCCACUGAGCGUCACUCCUCGUAGAUCCUGUCGAGCUGAAGAACUGACACUAGCAAUCCACCUGAGCCAGUCGUCGGUGUGGGAGCGGAGGAUCGUGCCGGGGAUCACCUGCUGAUUUAAAGACUUUUAAUGCAUCGGUGUAAAACUGUUGUAGCAUAGAGAAUGUCCACUGAAAGCUUGUACAUAUUUUACAACCUGUACCCCCUUUCCCAAGCCCCUCCACCAGCUGAGAAAAUGUUUAUUUAAUUUAACCCUGAUUUCCUCAUCUUCCAA
Non-coding RNA from Chiloscyllium plagiosum (whitespotted bambooshark), 600 nucleotides. Lineage: Eukaryota; Metazoa; Chordata; Chondrichthyes; Orectolobiformes; Hemiscylliidae. The record is from RefSeq and is a predicted model, not a curated record.